Molecule: transfer RNA, 63 nt
Filed under: Loxocephala perpunctata
Lineage: Eukaryota; Metazoa; Arthropoda; Insecta; Hemiptera; Eurybrachidae
Description: tRNA-Glu
Source: RNAcentral
AUUUAUAUAGUUUAAAUAAAACAUUAUAUUUUCAAUAUAAAAAUAACCUAAUAUUUAUAAAUA